Molecule: ribosomal RNA, 497 nt
Filed under: uncultured bacterium
Lineage: Bacteria
Description: partial 16S ribosomal RNA
Rfam family: Bacterial small subunit ribosomal RNA
Source: RNAcentral
GAUGAACGCUGGCGGCGUGCCUAAUACAUGCAAGUCGAGCGAACAGAUAAGGAGCUUGCUCCUUUGACGUUAGCGGCGGACGGGUGAGUAACACGUGGGUAACCUACCUAUAAGACUGGGAUAACUUCGGGAAACCGGAGCUAAUACCGGAUAACAUUUGGAACCGCAUGGUUCUAAAGUGAAAGAUGGUUUUGCUAUCACUUAUAGAUGGACCCGCGCCGUAUUAGCUAGUUGGUAAGGUAACGGCUUACCAAGGCAACGAUACGUAGCCGACCUGAGAGGGUGAUCGGCCACACUGGAACUGAGACACGGUCCAGACUCCUACGGGAGGCAGCAGUAGGGAAUCUUCCGCAAUAGGCGAAAGCCUGACGGAGCAACGCCGCGUGAGUGAUGAAGGGUUUCGGCUCGUAAAACUCUGUUAUUAGGGAAGAACAAAUGUGUAAGUAACUGUGCACGUCUUGACGGUACCUAAUCAGAAAGCCACGGCUAACUACGUG